This 484-nucleotide ribosomal RNA is filed under the name uncultured bacterium. RNAcentral's name for it is "partial 16S ribosomal RNA". It matches the Rfam family "Bacterial small subunit ribosomal RNA", at positions 30 to 507 of the family's 1533-position model. The record is from RNAcentral.
AUUGAACGCUGGCGGCAGGCCUAACACAUGCGAGUCGAGCGGAUGAAGGGAGCUUGCUCCUGGAUUCAGCGGCGGACGGGUGAGUAAUGCCUAGGAAUCUGCCUGGUAGUGGGGGAUAACGUCCGGAAACGGGCGCUAAUACCGCAUACGUCCUGAGGGAGAAAGUGGGGGAUCUUCGGACCUCACGCUAUCAGAUGAGCCUAGGUCGGAUUAGCUAGUUGGUGGGGUAAAGGCCUACCAAGGCGACGAUCCGUAACUGGUCUGAGAGGAUGAUCAGUCACACUGGAACUGAGACACGGUCCAGACUCCUACGGGAGGCAGCAGUGGGGAAUAUUGGACAAUGGGCGAAAGCCUGAUCCAGCCAUGCCGCGUGUGUGAAGAAGAUCUUCGGAUUGUAAAGCACUUUAAGUUGGGAGGAAGGGCAGUAAGUUAAUACCUUGCUGUUUUGACGUUACCAACAGAAUAAGCACCGGCUAACUUCGUG